RNAcentral lists this ribosomal RNA (318 nucleotides) under Triticum aestivum (bread wheat). Its description in RNAcentral is "partial small subunit ribosomal RNA". The record is from RNAcentral. Lineage: Eukaryota; Viridiplantae; Streptophyta; Magnoliopsida; Poales; Poaceae.
AUGUUACUAAACCAUGACGAACCUACGAACUGUGAAGAAGCGAUGGUGAGCCUAGAUUCCGCAAAAUGGCUUGAGGCCAUGAAAUCUGAGAUGGGAUCCAUGUGUGAGAACAAAGUGUGGACUUUGGUUGACUUGCCCGAUGAUCGGCAAGCCAUAGAAAAUAAAUGGAUCUUCAAGAGGAAGACGGACGCUGAUAGUAGUGUUACUAUCUACAAAGCUAGACUUGUCGGAAAAAGGUUUUUGACAAAGUUCAAGGUGUUGACUACGAUGAGAUUUUCUCGCUCGCAGCGAUGCUUAAGUCUGUCCGAACCAUGUUAG